UACGGAGGAUGCAAGCGUUAUCCGGAAUGAUUGGGCGUAAAGCGUCCGCAGGUGGCUGUGUAAGUCUGCUGUCAAAGAGCGAAGCUCAACUUCGUAAAGACAGUGGAAACUACGUAGCUAGAGUACGGUCGGGGUAGAAAGAAUUCCUGGUGUAGCGGUGAAAUGCGUAGAGAUCAGGAAGAACACCGGUGGCGAAAGCGUUCUGCUAGGCCUGUACUGACACUGAGGGACGAAAGCUAGGGGAGCGAAUGGG
RNAcentral lists this ribosomal RNA (253 nucleotides) under uncultured bacterium. Its description in RNAcentral is "partial 16S ribosomal RNA". It matches the Rfam family "Bacterial small subunit ribosomal RNA", at positions 524 to 776 of the family's 1533-position model. The record is from RNAcentral.